Molecule: ribosomal RNA, 481 nt
Filed under: uncultured bacterium
Lineage: Bacteria
Description: bacterial SSU rRNA
Rfam family: Bacterial small subunit ribosomal RNA
Source: RNAcentral
CCUUAAUACAUGCAAGUCGAGCGAGAAGGUUUACUUCGGUAAACUGGAAAGCGGCGCACGGGUGAGUAACGCGUACACAACCUACCUUUUAGAGGGGGAUAGCCUCGGGAAACUGAGAUUAAUACCCCAUGUGAUUAUGUUUUUGCAUAGAGAUAUAAUUAAAGAUCCGUCGCUAAAAGAUGGGUGUGCGUAUGAUUAGAUAGUUGGUGAGGUAACGGCUCACCAAGUCAACGAUCAUUAGGGGGCGUGAGAGCGUGAUCCCCCACACGGGUACUGAGACACGGACCCGACUCCUACGGGAGGCAGCAGUAAGGAAUAUUGGACAAUGGGCGCAAGCCUGAUCCAGCCAUCCCGCGUGUAGGAUGACUGCCCUAUGGGUUGUAAACUACUUUUGUCAGGGAAGAAAUGCCUGGGUUUACCUGGGCCUGACGGUACCUGAAGAAUAAGCACCGGCUAACUCCGUGCCAGCAGCCGCGGUAAU